This 559-nucleotide ribosomal RNA is filed under the name Colletotrichum gloeosporioides. Its description in RNAcentral is "eukaryotic LSU rRNA". The stretch from base 187 to 340 matches the Rfam family "5.8S ribosomal RNA". The record is from RNAcentral. Lineage: Eukaryota; Fungi; Ascomycota; Sordariomycetes; Glomerellales; Glomerellaceae.
GAGGAUCAUUACUGAGAUUUACGCUCUAUAACCCUUUGUCGAACAUACCUAUAACUGUUGCUUCGGCGGGUAGGGUCCCCGUGACCCUCCCGGCCUCCCGCCCCCCGGGCGGGUCGGCGCCCGCCGGAGGAUAACCAAACUCUGAUUUAACGACGUUUCUUCUGAGUGGUACAAGCAAAUAAUCAAAACUUUUAACAACGGAUCUCUUGGUUCUGGCAUCGAUGAAGAACGCAGCGAAAUGCGAUAAGUAAUGUGAAUUGCAGAAUUCAGUGAAUCAUCGAAUCUUUGAACGCACAUUGCGCCCGCCAGCAUUCUGGCGGGCAUGCCUGUUCGAGCGUCAUUUCAACCCUCAAGCUCUGCUUGGUGUUGGGGCCCUACAGCUGAUGUAGGCCCUCAAAGGUAGUGGCGGACCCUCCCGGAGCCUCCUUUGCGUAGUAACUUUACGUCUCGCACUGGGAUCCGGAGGGACUCUUGCCGUAAAACCCCCAAUUUUCCAAAGGUUGACCUCGGAUCAGGUAGGAAUACCCGCUGAACUUAAGCAUAUCAUUAAACGAAGGAA